RNAcentral lists this ribosomal RNA (465 nucleotides) under uncultured bacterium. RNAcentral describes it as "bacterial SSU rRNA". It matches the Rfam family "Bacterial small subunit ribosomal RNA", at positions 338 to 795 of the family's 1533-position model. The record is from RNAcentral.
CCUACGGGCUGCACCAGUGGGGAAUAUUGCACAAUGGGCGCAAGCCUGAUGCAGCCAUGCCGCGUGUAUGAAGAAGGCCUUCGGGUUGUAAAGUACUUUCAGCGGGGAGGAAGGUGUUGUGGUUAAUAACCGCAGCAAUUGACGUUACCCGCAGAAGAAGCACCGGCUAACUCCGUGCCAGCAGCCGCGGUAAUACGGAGGGUGCAAGCGUUAAUCGGAAUUACUGGGCGUAAAGCGCAUGCAGGCGGCCUGUUAAGUCAGAUGUGAAAGCCCGGGGCUUAACCUCGGAAUUGCAUUUGAAACUGGCAGGCUAGAGUCUUGUAGAGGGGGGUAGAAUUCCAUGUGUAGCGGUGAAAUGCGUAGAGAUGUGGAGGAAUACCGGUGGCGAAGGCGGCCCCCUGGACAAAGACUGACGCUCAGAUGCGAAAGCGUGGGGAGCAAACAGGAUUAGAUACCCUCGUAGUC